This 417-nucleotide long non-coding RNA is filed under the name Vombatus ursinus (common wombat). RNAcentral describes it as "lncRNA (ENSVURG00010011649.1)". Lineage: Eukaryota; Metazoa; Chordata; Mammalia; Diprotodontia; Vombatidae. The record is from RNAcentral.
UUCCCCGCCCUCAAGUCACUUCCCCUCUGGGUUUCACUUUCCUUGUUUGCAAAACAAGUGUCUGACCAGGGUGCCCCAAGGUCUGUUCCAGCCUUGAAUCUGAUUCCAUGUCAUGGGUAACCCCAAGGAGAUCAUUUAAUCUUUCUGAGACUCUGAGAGACUCCGUGGUAAGGAAACAAGAGUCAUCCAAGUGGACUUCACUGGAGGCCUAGAGGUCUAUGAGACAGUCAAUGCUGUUGGCAUAACUCCCACGCAAGUCCUGCAGAAGCUAAUGGCUUUGAAGAACACAGGCAAGGUAGAGGAAGCUACACCUCGCCCCCCCAACUCAUGCCUUUUCCCAUUUCUCUGACUUUUUCCAUCUCUUCUUCUCCCCUCCCUAUUCCUGCCCUCUUUAUCUGCCCCUUCCCUCAUCACCCC